Molecule: transfer RNA, 58 nt
Filed under: Salmo salar (Atlantic salmon)
Lineage: Eukaryota; Metazoa; Chordata; Actinopteri; Salmoniformes; Salmonidae
Rfam family: tRNA
About the family: Transfer RNA (tRNA) molecules are approximately 80 nucleotides in length. Their secondary structure includes four short double-helical elements and three loops (D, anti-codon, and T loops). Further hydrogen bonds mediate the characteristic L-shaped molecular structure. tRNAs have two regions of fundamental functional importance: the anti-codon, which is responsible for specific mRNA codon recognition, and the 3' end, to which the tRNAs corresponding amino acid is attached (by aminoacyl-tRNA synthetases). tRNAs cope with the degeneracy of the genetic code in two manners: having more than one tRNA (with a specific anti-codon) for a particular amino acid; and 'wobble' base-pairing, i.e. permitting non-standard base-pairing at the 3rd anti-codon position.
Source: Rfam by way of RNAcentral
GGCUGGUGUUGGUAGAGCAUGGCGCUUGCAACGCCAGGGUUGUGGGUUCGAUUCCCAC